AAGUAAAAGAAGAGGGGUAUUUAUAACUAAGGAAUUAGGGUUUAGGGGUAGGGUGGCUCCAUCUUGACCAUCCAUGUGCCUUGAGUGUUGGGAGAAUUGUGGCCAUCCAUGUGUCCUUUACUUGCCAACCCUUUUUCUUUUUCUUCUUUUCUUUUCAUUUUCUUCUUUUUCUUGCAUUUUCUCUUCUUUCUUUAUUUAUCUACAAUUUCCUGAAAUAAAAUAAAUAAGCGAUUAAUACUACGAAAAUAAACAAAAAAUAGGCACUUAAAUAUGCAAA
This 277-nucleotide long non-coding RNA is filed under the name Daucus carota (carrot). RNAcentral's name for it is "long non-coding RNA (DCAR_LNC005640)". Lineage: Eukaryota; Viridiplantae; Streptophyta; Magnoliopsida; Apiales; Apiaceae. The record is from RNAcentral.